UACGGAGGGUGCAAGCGUUAUCCGGAAUCACUGGGUUUAAAGGGUGUGUAGGCGGUUUGAUAAGUCAGUUUUGAAAUUCCCCGGCUUAACCGGGCGGAGGGCGAUUGAUACUGUUAGACUUGAAUCAGGUUGAGGUAAGCGGAAUGUGACAUGUAGCGGUGAAAUGCUUAGAUAUGUCAUAGAACACCGAUUGCGGAGGCAGCUUGCUGGGCUUAGAUUGACGCUGAGGCGCGAAAGCGUGGGGAGCAAACAGG
This 254-nucleotide ribosomal RNA is filed under the name uncultured bacterium. Its description in RNAcentral is "partial 16S ribosomal RNA". It matches the Rfam family "Bacterial small subunit ribosomal RNA", at positions 524 to 776 of the family's 1533-position model. The record is from RNAcentral.